This 87-nucleotide transfer RNA is filed under the name Methylovulum sp. RNAcentral's name for it is "tRNA-Leu". It matches the Rfam family "tRNA". From Rfam's summary of the family: Transfer RNA (tRNA) molecules are approximately 80 nucleotides in length. The record is from RNAcentral. Lineage: Bacteria; Pseudomonadati; Pseudomonadota; Gammaproteobacteria; Methylococcales; Methylococcaceae.
GCCUCGGUGGCGAUAUUGGUAGACGCAAGGGACUUAAAAUCCCUCGGCUGUAAGGCUGUGCCGGUUCGACUCCGGCCCGAGGCACCA